GACGAACGCUGGCGGCGUGCUUAACACAUGCAAGUCGAGCGGUAAGGCCCUUUCGGGGGUACGACGAGCGGCGAACGGGUGAGUAACACGUGGGUGGACCUGCCCUCCAGCUCUGGGAGUAAGCCUCGGGAAACCGGGGUACCGUAAUAACCGGAGUAUGACUCCAUGACGCAUGUUGUGGGGUGGAAAGCCUUGUGCGGCUGAGGAUGGGCCCGCCGGCCUAUCAGCUUGUUGGUGGGGUGAUGGCCGUACCAAGGCGACGACGGGUAGCCGGCCUGAGAGGGCG
This 286-nucleotide ribosomal RNA is filed under the name uncultured bacterium. Its description in RNAcentral is "partial 16S ribosomal RNA". It matches the Rfam family "Bacterial small subunit ribosomal RNA", at positions 28 to 302 of the family's 1533-position model. The record is from RNAcentral.